AUACGUAGGUGGCAAGCGUUGUCCGGAAUUACUGGGUGUAAAGGGUGCGCAGGCGGGACUGCAAGUUGGAUGUGAAAUUUCGAGGCUUAACCUCGAACCUGCAUCCAAAACUGUAGUUCUUGAGUGAAGUAGAGGUAGGCGGAAUUCCGAGUGUAGCGGUGAAAUGCGUAGAUAUUCGGAGGAACACCAGUGGCGAAGGCGGCCUACUGGGCUUUAACUGACGCUGAGGCACGAAAGCAUGGGGAGC
RNAcentral lists this ribosomal RNA (247 nucleotides) under uncultured bacterium. Its description in RNAcentral is "partial 16S ribosomal RNA". It matches the Rfam family "Bacterial small subunit ribosomal RNA", at positions 523 to 769 of the family's 1533-position model. The record is from RNAcentral.